Small nuclear RNA from Vulpes vulpes (red fox), 104 nucleotides. Lineage: Eukaryota; Metazoa; Chordata; Mammalia; Carnivora; Canidae. The record is from Ensembl.
CUGUUCACUUUAGCAGCAUAUAUACUAAAAUUGGAAUGAUGCAGAGAUCAGGAUGGCUCCUGUGCAAGGAUGACACGCAAAUUUGUGAAGUGUCCCAUAUAAAA